AGUGAACGCUGGCGGUAGGCCUAACACAUGCAAGUCGAACGGCAGCACAGUAAGAGCUUGCUCUUACGGGUGGCGAGUGGCGGACGGGUGAGGAAUACAUCGGAAUCUACUUUUUCGUGGGGGAUAACGUAGGGAAACUUACGCUAAUACCGCAUACGACCUACGGGUGAAAGCAGGGGAUCUUCGGACCUUGCGCGAUUGAAUGAGCCGAUGUCGGAUUAGCUAGUUGGCGGGGUAAAGGCCCACCAAGGCGACGAUCCGUAGCUGGUCUGAGAGGAUGAUCAGCCACACUGGAACUGAGACACGGUCCAGACUCCUACGGGAGGCAGCAGUGGGGAAUAUCGGACAAUGGGCGCAAGCCUGAUCCAGCCAUACCGCGUGGGUGAAGAAGGCCUUAGGGUUGUAAAGCCCUUUUGUUGGGAAAGAAAAGCAGCAGGUUAAUACCCCGCUGUUCUGACGGUACCCAAAGAAUAAGCACCGGCUAACUUCGUG
RNAcentral lists this ribosomal RNA (492 nucleotides) under uncultured bacterium. RNAcentral's name for it is "partial 16S ribosomal RNA". It matches the Rfam family "Bacterial small subunit ribosomal RNA", at positions 29 to 507 of the family's 1533-position model. The record is from RNAcentral.